Long non-coding RNA from Arabidopsis thaliana (thale cress), 350 nucleotides. RefSeq annotates it as other RNA. NCBI's taxonomy places the organism in Eukaryota, Viridiplantae, Streptophyta, Magnoliopsida, Brassicales, Brassicaceae. The transcript has a single exon. The record is from RefSeq.
CUCAGAAGUCAGAAACCAUACCAUAUCACAUGUCUUUUGCUGAAACUUCAUAAGCCAACUGUGGUAGGGGAUGGAAUUUGCAACAGUGGUCCUCUUCUUCUUCUUCAUGAGUUCAUUCUUCCCUUCUUCACAGAAAAAAAAAAACCCUUAAGGAUUAAAUCUCAUCACUGUUUCUUUCUUCUUUAAUCACAUCUCAGUUUUAUGUGUCAGUGGUCCUCUCUCUACCUUCAACGAUUAUCCAAUGUUCUUCAUGCAUAUAUAUAAACUCCGUACUUGUUGCGUUUUCAAAUUGUUCAUGUCUCUUCACUGUUGUCUUUUUCUUGUUGCUGUUUACCGCCAUUUUCAACUUU